AGCGUACACGGUGGAUGCCCUGGCAGUCAGAGGCGAUGAAGGACGUGCUAAUCUGCGAUAAGCGUCGGUGAGGUGAUAUGAACCGUUAUAACCGGCGAUUUCCGAAUGGGGAAACCCAGUGUGUUUCGACACACUAUCAUUAACUGAAUCCAUAGGUUAAUGAGGCGAACCGGGGGAACUGAAACAUCUAAGUACCCCGAGGAAAAGAAAUCAACCGAGAUUCCCCCAGUAGCGGCGAGCGAACGGGGAGGAGCCCAGAGCCUGAAUCAGUGUGUGUGUUAGUGGAAGCGUCUGGAAAGGCGCGCGAUACAGGGUGACAGCCCCGUACACAAAAAUGCACAUAUUGUGAGCUCGAUGAGUAGGGCGGGACACGUGGUAUCCUGUCUGAAUAUGGGGGGACCAUCCUCCAAGGCUAAAUACUCCUGACUGACCGAUAGUGAACCAGUACCGUGAGGGAAAGGCGAAAAGAACCCCGGCGAGGGGAGUGAAAAAGAACCUGAAACCGUGUACGUACAAGCAGUGGGAGCCUCUUAAUGGGGUGACUGCGUACCUUUUGUAUAAUGGGUCAGCGACUUAUAUUCUGUAGCAAGGUUAACCGAAUAGGGGAGCCGAAGGGAAACCGAGUCUUAACUGGGCGUUAAGUUGCAGGGUAUAGACCCGAAACCCGGUGAUCUAGCCAUGGGCAGGUUGAAGGUUGGGUAACACUAACUGGAGGACCGAACCGACUAAUGUUGAAAAAUUAGCGGAUGACUUGUGGCUGGGGGUGAAAGGCCAAUCAAACCGGGAGAUAGCUGGUUCUCCCCGAAAGCUAUUUAGGUAGCGCCUCGUGAAUUCAUCUCCGGGGGUAGAGCACUGUUUCGGCAAGGGGGUCAUCCCGACUUACCAACCCGAUGCAAACUGCGAAUACCGGAGAAUGUUAUCACGGGAGACACACGGCGGGUGCUAACGUCCGUCGUGAAGAGGGAAACAACCCAGACCGCCAGCUAAGGUCCCAAAGUCAUGGUUAAGUGGGAAACGAUGUGGGAAGGCCCAGACAGCCAGGAUGUUGGCUUAGAAGCAGCCAUCAUUUAAAGAAAGCGUAAUAGCUCACUGGUCGAGUCGGCCUGCGCGGAAGAUGUAACGGGGCUAAACCAUGCACCGAAGCUGCGGCAGCGACACUAUGUGUUGUUGGGUAGGGGAGCGUUCUGUAAGCCUGUGAAGGUGGCCUGUGAGGGUUGCUGGAGGUAUCAGAAGUGCGAAUGCUGACAUAAGUAACGAUAAAGCGGGUGAAAAGCCCGCUCGCCGGAAGACCAAGGGUUCCUGUCCAACGUUAAUCGGGGCAGGGUGAGUCGACCCCUAAGGCGAGGCCGAAAGGCGUAGUCGAUGGGAAACAGGUUAAUAUUCCUGUACUUGGUGUUACUGCGAAGGGGGGACGGAGAAGGCUAUGUUGGCCGGGCGACGGUUGUCCCGGUUUAAGCGUGUAGGCUGGUUUUCCAGGCAAAUCCGGAAAACCAAGGCUGAGGCGUGAUGACGAGGCACUACGGUGCUGAAGCGACAAAUGCCCUGCUUCCAGGAAAAGCCUCUAAGCAUCAGGUAACAUCAAAUCGUACCCCAAACCGACACAGGUGGUCAGGUAGAGAAUACCAAGGCGCUUGAGAGAACUCGGGUGAAGGAACUAGGCAAAAUGGUGCCGUAACUUCGGGAGAAGGCACGCUGAUAUGUAGGUGAAGCGACUUGCUCGUGGAGCUGAAAUCAGUCGAAGAUACCAGCUGGCUGCAACUGUUUAUUAAAAACACAGCACUGUGCAAACACGAAAGUGGACGUAUACGGUGUGACGCCUGCCCGGUGCCGGAAGGUUAAUUGAUGGGGUUAGCGGUAACGCGAAGCUCUUGAUCGAAGCCCCGGUAAACGGCGGCCGUAACUAUAACGGUCCUAAGGUAGCGAAAUUCCUUGUCGGGUAAGUUCCGACCUGCACGAAUGGCGUAAUGAUGGCCAGGCUGUCUCCACCCGAGACUCAGUGAAAUUGAACUCGCUGUGAAGAUGCAGUGUACCCGCGGCAAGACGGAAAGACCCCGUGAACCUUUACUAUAGCUUGACACUGAACAUUGAGCCUUGAUGUGUAGGAUAGGUGGGAGGCUUUGAAGUGUGGACGCCAGUCUGCAUGGAGCCGACCUUGAAAUACCACCCUUUAAUGUUUGAUGUUCUAACGUUGGCCCGUAAUCCGGGUUGCGGACAGUGUCUGGUGGGUAGUUUGACUGGGGCGGUCUCCUCCUAAAGAGUAACGGAGGAGCACGAAGGUUGGCUAAUCCUGGUCGGACAUCAGGAGGUUAGUGCAAUGGCAUAAGCCAGCUUGACUGCGAGCGUGACGGCGCGAGCAGGUGCGAAAGCAGGUCAUAGUGAUCCGGUGGUUCUGAAUGGAAGGGCCAUCGCUCAACGGAUAAAAGGUACUCCGGGGAUAACAGGCUGAUACCGCCCAAGAGUUCAUAUCGACGGCGGUGUUUGGCACCUCGAUGUCGGCUCAUCACAUCCUGGGGCUGAAGUAGGUCCCAAGGGUAUGGCUGUUCGCCAUUUAAAGUGGUACGCGAGCUGGGUUUAGAACGUCGUGAGACAGUUCGGUCCCUAUCUGCCGUGGGCGCUGGAGAACUGAGGGGGGCUGCUCCUAGUACGAGAGGACCGGAGUGGACGCAUCACUGGUGUUCGGGUUGUCAUGCCAAUGGCACUGCCCGGUAGCUAAAUGCGGAAGAGAUAAGUGCUGAAAGCAUCUAAGCACGAAACUUGCCCCGAGAUGAGUUCU
RNAcentral lists this ribosomal RNA (2773 nucleotides) under Escherichia coli. Its description in RNAcentral is "bacterial LSU rRNA". It matches the Rfam family "Bacterial large subunit ribosomal RNA". Lineage: Bacteria; Pseudomonadati; Pseudomonadota; Gammaproteobacteria; Enterobacterales; Enterobacteriaceae. The record is from RNAcentral.